AGGCCUUGUGGGAGGUUGGCUGUCCCAGGAGCCCCGGAAAACACUGAGAUGUCCUUCCAAACAGGGACACAAACAGCUGAAGAGCUCCAGUUACUUAAGAGGGAUCAUCACGUGUGAAGGCGGUGGCCUUCGCUGCCUCAGGGACCUGUGCCUGGUGGUAGAUACUGUACGUCAGAGGAGGGCCUCCAGCGGUGUCUGGCCCCAGCACAGCCAGGCACGGACGCUAAGGUCUGCACACCUGCUGCCCACGGGUCAGAGACCCAGGCCCCAAAUAGGAGCAGCUGCUGUGAUGCUAAUCUCGCAUGGGACUGAGGAUGAGCCCUUUUUGGA
Molecule: long non-coding RNA, 330 nt
Organism: Myotis lucifugus (little brown bat)
Lineage: Eukaryota; Metazoa; Chordata; Mammalia; Chiroptera; Vespertilionidae
Exons: 3
Source: RefSeq, a predicted model, not a curated record